RNAcentral lists this ribosomal RNA (252 nucleotides) under uncultured bacterium. Its description in RNAcentral is "partial 16S ribosomal RNA". It matches the Rfam family "Bacterial small subunit ribosomal RNA", at positions 524 to 776 of the family's 1533-position model. The record is from RNAcentral.
UACGUAGGUGGCAAGCGUUGUCCGGAUUUACUGGGCGUAAAGGGUGCGUAGGCGGACAUUUAAGUCAGAUGUGAAAUACCCGAGCUUAACUUGGGUGCUGCAUUUGAAACUGGGUGUCUAGAGUGCAGGAGAGGUAAGUGGAAUUCCUAGUGUAGCGGUGAAAUGCGUAGAGAUUAGGAAGAACACCAGUGGCGAAGGCGACUUACUGGACUGUAACUGACGCUGAGGCAUAAAGCGUGGGGAGCAAACAGG